RNAcentral lists this ribosomal RNA (397 nucleotides) under uncultured bacterium. RNAcentral's name for it is "partial 16S ribosomal RNA". It matches the Rfam family "Bacterial small subunit ribosomal RNA", at positions 523 to 918 of the family's 1533-position model. The record is from RNAcentral.
AUACGUAGGGGGCGAGCGUUGUCCGGAAUGAUUGGGCGUAAAGGGCGCGUAGGCGGCCCGGUAAGUCUGGAGUGAAAGUCCUGUUUUUAAGAUGGGAAUUGCUUUGGAUACUGUCGGGCUUGAGUGCAGGAGAGGUAAGUGGAAUUCCCAGUGUAGCGGUGAAAUGCGUAGAGAUUGGGAGGAACACCAGUGGCGAAGGCGACUUACUGGACUGUAACUGACGCUGAGGCGCGAAAGUGUGGGGAGCAAACAGGAGUAUAUACCCUGGUAGUCCACACUGUAAACGAUGAAUGCUAGGUGUAGGGGGUAUCGACCCCUUCUGUGCCGCAGUCAACACAAUAAGCAUUCCGCCUGGGGAGUACGGCCGCAAGGUUGAAACUCAAAGGAAUUGACGGGG